Molecule: ribosomal RNA, 407 nt
Filed under: uncultured bacterium
Lineage: Bacteria
Description: partial 16S ribosomal RNA
Rfam family: Bacterial small subunit ribosomal RNA
Source: RNAcentral
AUUGAACGCUAGCGGCAUGCCUAACACAUGCAAGUCGAACGGAGUGGCGAACGGGUGGGUAAUGUAUCGGAACGUGCCCAGUAGCUGGGGAUAACUACGCGAAAGCGUAGCUAAUACCACAUACUAUUGGAGCGGCCGCUAUCGGAUUAGCUAGGUGGUGGGGUAACGGCUCACCAAGGCGACGAUCCGUAGCUGGUUUGAGAGGACGACCAGCCACACUGGGACUGAGACACGGCCCAGACUCCUACGGGAGGCAGCAGUGGGGAAUUUUGGACAAUGGGCGAAACCCUGACCCAGCCAUCCCGCGUGUGCGAUGAAGGCCUUCGGGUUGUAAAGCACUUUUGGCAGGGAAGCGGUACCUGCAGAAUAAGCACCGGCUAACUACGUGCCAGCAGCCGCGGUAAUUC